GGACACGUAGCUCAGCCUGGACAGAGCGUCGGACUUCUAAUCCGAUGGUCGCGGGUUCAACUCCCGUCGUGUUCG
RNAcentral lists this transfer RNA (75 nucleotides) under Halobacteriales archaeon. RNAcentral describes it as "tRNA-Arg". It matches the Rfam family "tRNA". Rfam says of the family: Transfer RNA (tRNA) molecules are approximately 80 nucleotides in length. Their secondary structure includes four short double-helical elements and three loops (D, anti-codon, and T loops). Further hydrogen bonds mediate the characteristic L-shaped molecular structure. tRNAs have two regions of fundamental functional importance: the anti-codon, which is responsible for specific mRNA codon recognition, and the 3' end, to which the tRNAs corresponding amino acid is attached (by aminoacyl-tRNA synthetases). tRNAs cope with the degeneracy of the genetic code in two manners: having more than one tRNA (with a specific anti-codon) for a particular amino acid; and 'wobble' base-pairing, i.e. permitting non-standard base-pairing at the 3rd anti-codon position. The record is from RNAcentral. Lineage: Archaea; Methanobacteriati; Methanobacteriota; Halobacteria; Halobacteriales.